This 6480-nucleotide long non-coding RNA is filed under the name Lynx pardinus (Iberian lynx). Lineage: Eukaryota; Metazoa; Chordata; Mammalia; Carnivora; Felidae. The record is from RNAcentral.
UCACCGCCCUGUUGUUUGUAUGUUAGUGGGGUUUGCUUGGUGUCGUUUGCAUCGUUUCGGUGUCUGACUCGGGAGAGGAAAGUUUAUCGUCUGAAAUCCCAUGCUUGUCUUAGCUGUUUACGGUGCAGUAUAUACAAACGGUGUCGGUUCCUGUUUUGUGCUUGUAAAUUAGUAGGAAGGAAAAGGUGGACUGAAUCCUUGGUAGUUCCCUGAAAUUAGAGUAGGUUCUUUUUUAAAGCCGCCCUGAGGGCAUAUUUCUAGGAAGUAAUAUGAAGAAACCAAAAGUUUAUUUUUGUCGUUUCCACAGGUGGUGUAGCAUAGGUUUUGUGAAUCAUAAAUGGUACUGUGAGAUCCUCAAUUUUAUUUUUAUUUAUUUUUCAUUUGCUAGAUUUAAUUUUAAUUUUUUUUUUUUUUUGAGAUCCUCAGUUUUAGAUCCAAGUGUCUCCAAUCCUCUCUUUUCAUGAACAGUUAUUACUGAAUAGAUGGUGGCAUUUAAACUGGGACUCCUGCCCUGGUCCUCUAACUUUCAGUACAAAGAAGAGACCAUUCUUUCUUGAUCUGCCUAGAUCUCCAUUGGUCGUCUUCUUUUUUUAAUGUUUAUGUAUUUUUUUUUAGAGCGAGAGAGCAUGAGUGGGGGAGGAGCAGAUAGAGAGGGAGACACAGAAUCCGAAGCAGCCUCCAGGCUCUGAGAUGUCAGCACAGAGCAGAUGUGGGGCUCAAACACACCCUGAGCUCAAGUCGGACACUUAACUGACUGAGCCACUCAGAUGCCCUUCCACUCCUCUUCUACCAUUUGCAUUGGCCUGCCUAGUCCUUAAGAUAAACUGUCAAAAGCACAUCUUUGCUAUAUACUUAAAGACUUCCAUGCAAGUCCUUUAUCACCCUCCUUUAUACUUUUGCUGGCCAUGCAUCUUUUCUAUAUAUAAAUUUUAGACCCAACACCAGCCAUAUUGUAUGCCAUAUUAGACCAUUUUUGCACAUUUUUUCUAAUCUUAACCACCCCUAUAUUCUACGUAUUACAUGUAAGGUAAGUUUUGCGUACUGGAAAGUUUUAUGUUAUUUGCCUAAGACCACAGAGCUAGGUAGUUAGCAGCUGUGCCAGAAUAUCCAACAUCUAUUUUCAGUAGGAAAUAGCAACUGAUAACUCAUUCCAUAUAUCCCUUAUAGAUGAGUUUCUAAGAGCCUAGUGUUUGGGGCCAAGUUGUAUAAUGGAAGAUUAGUUUCCUUUCUCCAUUCAACCAACCAACCAACCAACCAACCAAACAACUUGGUGUGGUCAGUAGAAAUUUGAACUUCCAGAUCUGAAUUGCAGCUGUGAGCAGAUGUUAGGAAGUAAUUAGUGGGGGUGGUAUAGCAUCUAGUCGUCUGAUAGAUCUAGGCGGAGACUUCUGUAGGUGUGUGAUUGUUCAUAGAAGAAAACAACUGACUUUAUGUACUCAUUCAGUCUUCUCUCUUGCUGAAAAAUUGGCAGCACUGUGAACUUCCGAGUGGGACCAGAAGAGGAACUUGCCACUACAUGAAUACCAAGAAAGGAACAAACUGCGCACGUUUCAGAGUGUUGAGUGGGCCUCUGGUCCACCUAAGAUACCCUGAGAACAUAGCCAAUGAGGAUCACUCUAAUUCUCCUCUAACACUUCUUCAACCCAAUGUCUUGGUGCACCCUUUUAGGGCCUUCAACUCAGCAGGUAUGUGGGUUGACAGAGGUUGGUUAGUGCUGCUCAGUAAUUGAGGGUUGGGUGUGGGAGGAUUUUCACCCUUAUGGCUGCCUGACUACAUUUGUCCCUUGGAAACUCAGGCUCAGUAUUUAAAGAUCCUUAUGUAUGAACCGUUACUUUGGGUAAGUUACUGUUAAAUCAAGAUAAGACAACAGAACUUAGAAAUGGGAAGUUACCUUUUUAUCUUUCGUCCGUCAGUCUUUCUUUCAGAGUUAUAUUUGUAUCAUGAAAGCAUUCACCUGCAAAUGGUUUCUUGGAAAAAUGUAUGAAAAAUAGAAGGACUAUCUGCUCUCCUCCAAAUUUCUUGGAUCCCUUCAGGCAUCACUUGGGGUCCCCUGUUUGUGUUAGUACCUGUCUGUGAGUGUGGCAGCUGACGAGGGCAGGAGGGAGGCCGCUCUGUGUCUUCCUCCUUAUUUCAUGUGCUGCUGUUCCCGAGGCCUGGCUUGAAAAAAGCAGGACAUUCGGCUUAGACAGAUGGAGGGCAGGGUCAUUUUCAAAAUGAAAUGAGUGCACAAAUCACACUGUGAAAUUGGCAUGACCAUCACUGCUGCUGUGAUAGACUGACUUUUAUUUAGUUAUGAUGGGCAGUUGGGGAAUAGAUUAGGUUUUUGGAUGGGGGAGGGGCCGCAGUGAAAGAAGGCCCUUUAAUUAAUGAGAGAAAUUCUGGAAAGCAAUAAAUGGGGUGGAAUAUUAUAAAAUGUCAUAAAAGACCAUUUUGUUUCCAACAGAAUCUUGAAAACUGGAGCAUGUAUCAAAAAGUAAAUGUAUCGUACCAUUGCUAGCAAUAAGAAAGCAUUUGGUGGUUGCAAUAAAAUGAUUUAGUGCCUUAUUGAAAGAAACUAGGCUUUGAGAAAAUGGAGUUGGACUCGGUGAAUUUUGCUGCAAAAAGGAAGGCAUGUUCACCAUGUAGAAGAAUUCCAUUUAGGCAAAAUGUGUAGGAGCUAAAAGCAUGAUGCUUGGUUCUUCAUAUGCUUAUGUUUCUGCCUGCCAAAGCAUGAGAUGAUCAAAUCCUAUUCUAUUUGUACAUAUAAUCUGUCUGGCAUUCUCUUGUAAAACAGUUGGAAGGUAUGAUUUCUUAUUUAUCCUUUACGUGUGAUCAUGUCCUGUUGGUAAACCGGUCAUUUCUGAACAUCCCAACUACCACAGCUGGUGUCAGACAUCUUUCUUGAUAAAGGAAGACCUUCUGAAAAAACCACUUUUCAGUUGUUAUUUUUUUUCCCCUUCUCAUUUCAGGCCAUUUUCUUCAGGAUGGCCAGUUUCAGGGGCUCAGUUACCUUGCUUCCUCUCAACAGUAAACAGGGAAAAAUAAUAAAUUAGUACCAAAUUGGUAAUGUAAUUGACUUUUAGAAGCAUCCCUUCCAUCUUUUAAUACUUUUGGAAAGGUUGUAUACCAAAUCAAUACUUGGGGACAUGUAUGCUCAGACAUUUAACCUCAUUAUGAACUCUGUUUUUGCUGCUGGUUUCAGCUCUGUUAUUUUCAUUAGAUUUCUUUCUUGGAUAUACCUUAUUUUUUUUUUUUAUCAAGUAGCUUAUAUUUAGGUGCUUACAGUGUUAGCACUGUUACCUAAACUUGUCAGGGAGAACACAAUAGCAUUAUAGUUUAUAAAUGGAGUUAGUAGGGAAGGCACAACUGUGGAUACUGGUAUUUGAAGAAAGCGAUCAGCCAUCCAAACAAAGAGCUACUCUAAGCCUUGUGUUUAUACAGUACUUUCUGUACCAGGACCAGGUCCUGCUUUGCCUAACUUCCCUCAUUAAUCCUCACAGCCCUUCUGUGAAUUAGGUGACUCUUAUUUUUGGCCCCACUGGAAAACUAUGGACUGCAAAGCACAAAAGGAAGCCUGUGGUUGCAGCAGCCCGCCCGUGGGGGCUGGCGAUUGCUUAAGCUGGCCAGUAGGGGCCACACUGCACCUCUUCCCUCUCUCCCCCUGGGCACCUCCUCUCCAGUCCUUUGAAUUGGCUUUGGAUCAUUUGCUGCAGUUUGUUCUAAUAGAACAGGCACAAUGGUGUAAGAAUUUUAAAGUUUAAGCACCGAAGCCGUUGUGUAAUUGUAUGGCGUCAGUGUGGCCGGCAGCCCUGCAUUGAUGCGAUCCCCCUGUGUAAUUGCCCAUGCAAAUUCGAGCGGUCUGUAAGGGAUGCAGAAACCCAUGUUUGGCUACAGAUUCUUCUCCCCCAGAAAAUCUAAUAACUCGAAGAACCUUUUGUCAUCUUUAAAAUGCACCAUGGACAGGGAUGUCUCAGUAUCCCUCUCAUAGGGGCAGACAUCACAGAUCAAGGUUAAUGGGCUAAAUUCACAGCCAAAAUUUAAAUUGUAGGUAAUCAGAUGCAUGCUUUCCUCUUUCAGACUUUAAAUCACCCUUCACAAGAGAAAUAAAGAUUAUUCCAGAGGUUUAGUUAAACUUUAAGCAUUUUAUUAAAAACCAAGAUAGUUAGGUCUCUUAAAGCAGACUGUUUCAAACUCAUGAAUUAGUUGCCUGUGAAAUUGCUUGCAAUCUGUAAUGUAGUAUUCUUACAAUGAAACAUCAGCCUGACAAAUCUGUACAAAGCCAGUGACUUCAAACAAUUCAGCUGAAGACAUAUUUCCCUCCUUUUGUGUAAAACAAUAGUAAUUAGGAAGCACAUCCAGAGGGGAUCCUUUUUAGAUUAUUGUAUAUCAAAAUAAAAUGGCAAAAGCAAUUUUCUCUCAUGGGAAUGAGACUUAACAAAACCUCAUCUCUUAUUUCCGUACUAUGCCCUUCCUUCCUCGUUCCCUCCCUUCUUUCCUCUCUCCCUUUUUCCUUCCUUCCUUCCUUCCUUCCUUCCUUCCUUCCUUCCUUCCUUCCUUCCUGUAAUUCAUGUAAACAUGAUUUAAUAUAAAUCUAAAGAAAACAAAUUGAGGUUCUAAUACACACAUAUAUACAUAUAGAAAGUGAACACAAAGAUAAAUCAUGGCCUCAAAUAGCACAUUUUUAUCACAGAAAAUACUUCAUUUACUUGAUAAACAUAUUUCUGUACCAGUGUAUACAUUGAACAACAUUGGUAUAGAUACGCUGCACAGAAACAAUUAAUCUUUAGCCCUGUUGAGAGACGUGCCAAAUAUGCAAGAACAUUCAAAAUUAAAUUAGGGAAGAUGUAACCCAAAAUUGAUAGCUGAGGAAAAGGUAGUAAUGCAAACAAUGUAAGCAGGACACCGGGCAUUGCUGAACCUGUGCUUGUCGUGACAUUCCCUGGACACGCUUCAUCUUGUUUCUGUCCUCCCUGUGUUUUAUUCUAUUACUGCUCACUUAUGAAACUUAUGAAAUUCUGGCUUUCUUGUAGCCAGACCCAACUUUUAAAUUUCCUGCUACAUUUGAGUUUUGGGAGUUCUUUACAGCAAGUGGCAGAACAGCUGUUUCAGAGACUGUUAUUCUGAAGCAGACAAUGAGACUUCACGGCACUGGCAUUGCCGGAGUUUUUAGGGUCCUAAAUUAGGUUUUGUUCUGUUGUUUAAUGAAUUCUCUUGGAGUUUUUAUUUUUUCUAGGCCAUACAUUUUUCUUUAGAUUUAAAUCUUCCCUAACAUGUUUAGAUUUCUGUCUUGCUUGAAGGGAGUUUUUCCCACUAUUACUGGGGGUGAGAUGUAUUUUACCUUUCUGCAAUUCAUUAAGAGUCAGCAGGAGAAAUGGAUUUUAAAAUAAUUGUACUGCAAAGUAAAUUGAGCAGACUCUGUUUAAUGACCUAAGGUAAGUGGAUAAAGUAUGAUAAAUUUUGAUACAUGAAAAAAGCAACUGAAUUCCUGUAGCAUUAAUAUUAGAUGAUAUUGCUAUUACACUAACAAAAAUUUAAAGAUUAUUUCUAACCCAACCCAACGUGUAUGCAAAUAUAAAAUACCUGCAAAUGUAUAGACAUCUCAGAUUUUAGAAAUAAAAAACAUAUGCAAUUUUAAUUUCACUUGAUUCACUUUAUAAAUUGACUUCUAAAUUAAACCAACUGCCAUUUAUGGGAUAUCUAGCUAUGAGAUAAUCUAAAGUUGUCCCUUAUGAAGUAAAAGGGUACAUUUUUAAAAAGCUGUACUGACAACCAUAUCUUUCAUGAUCACUAGAGGCAGGCUCAGACAUAUAUGUGGUAGGGGUGUUUUAUAUCUACCCCAUAUAUGUAACUUUUUAUUUUGUCUUUGGAGAGAAGAUGACCUCUUUAGGUUUGUUCCUAUUGUGUUUGAGAAGAGUAAGUAAGACAAUUAUGUGGAAAAUAUUUUAAAAAUUAAAUACAGGUUGGUCCUCUGUUGUAGAAGUGAACCGAAUAAAGCCAGUGCUUUUAUUUUACAGGUGCAGAACCCAAGACCUGGAGGGUCCCAAGAGAACAGGUCAAACUGGUGGCCAAGUCGGGGGCCAGGGCCCGUCUAUUGUGCAUCCUGUGGUGACCUUUGUAGUUUGCACGUGAUCUCUCCUGGCCAGUAUCAUAAGCUACACUGUGGGUUGUGCAUGUGUUGUCUACGUAUCGACUACUAAGAAAAUAAAUAACAUGUCUGAAAAAACAUAUCAUGUGGAGAAGGUAGGAUGAAGUCCUUUCAGCCAUUAAUGCCAGGAGCCCCAAGGAAGCAAACAUAGUCUGGUCAGCUGAAGGUUUUAUAAGAAGGCUCACAUUUCAAAUGCCUUCCUCCAGUAGGAAACAACCAUUAAUGAUAAGGACUGAGAAAAUGUCUCUUUAUUGUAGGAAAGCAAAAUAUAUAAUCACACAUACCUCUCAGUCUUGGAAAAUCAUGCCUUAUUUAGAAAAGGGCUUGAAAAUAUCUCAAACACCCAAGUGUUCAGC